CCUACGGGUGGCUGCAGUGAGGAAUAUUGGUCAAUGGGCGCGAGCCUGAACCAGCCAAGUCGCGUGAAGGAUGACUGCCCUACGGGUUGUAAACUUCUUUUAUAAAAGAAUAAAGUGAGCCACGUGUCCCUUUUUGAAUGUACUUUAUGAUUAAGGAUCGGCUAACUCCGUGCCAGCAGCCGCGGUAAUACGGAGGAUCCGAGCGUUAUCCGGAUUUAUUGGGUUUAAAGGGAGCGUAGAUGGGUUGUUAAGUCAGUUGUGAAAGUUUGCGGCUCAACCGUAAAAUUGCAAUUGAUACUGGCCGUCUUGAGGACAGUUGAGGUAGGCGGAAUUCGUGGUGUAGCGGUGAAAUGCUUAGAUAUCACGAAGAACUCCGAUUGCGAAGGCAGCUUACUAAACUGUCACUGACAUUGAUGCUCGAAAGUGUGGGUAUCAAACAGGAUUAGAUACCCCAGUAGUC
Molecule: ribosomal RNA, 460 nt
Filed under: uncultured bacterium
Lineage: Bacteria
Description: partial 16S ribosomal RNA
Rfam family: Bacterial small subunit ribosomal RNA
Source: RNAcentral